UCUGUCACGGGGUCAGUGUGCGGCCUUGUCCUAGGCAGCUUUCCAGGGGCCCCUGGUCUGAAAACAGCUUUAGUUAAAAUAAGGAGGGUGGUGCUGAGUGCUGGGCGGGUGGUGAAGAGGGAGGAUCCCUAGACGCUUUGCAAACAUGAGAAGCACUGCGGGUCACGGCAUGGGCACCAGCGGCCGGCACCCCUGCAGGUCCCCGAGGGGACAGGCAGCUGGACUCACGGCACAGUCUCUAAUCGUGUUCCGAGGUUGCAGUUUGGGGGAAUUUAAACCAAAUGAGUUACAAGCCACGGAAAUAAUUUUGACGGGAAAAGACGAGGACAGAGAGCCAGCAACGCGUCACCGCGGGCAGGACCCCGCCGCCUCCUCGCUGCCUCUUCUGUCGCUGUGGGAGUCAUCAGGCCUCUAGUGACGUUCACCGGGAAGACGUGGGCAGAAAACUGCACUGUCCUGGGCAGGAGACCCGCGGAGCCUGACUGCGCCGCGCUCUGCUGGGCGGGGGCGGCGGCCGCUGUGCCAGUGGCGGUUGGUGUCAGGGCCGUGCCCUGGGAUGCCGGGGGCCACAUCCAAGAACGGGGAGGCUCAUGUGUGCCCCAAGCAUGCAGGGGGAGCCCUAGGCCCUGAGACAGGCCGUCGGGGUUGGUUCCAGCAUCACCACCGGCAUCCUGGUUUGCAAAGCUCCCCGAAGAACCGCGUCCUUUGCUGUCAAAGUGACCCUCUCAGACUUGGGGAUUCAGGCCCUUUGUGAUCUAGGUCUUGGAUUUAGACGAGCCUGGUCCCAUUUCUGCCCCAGGCAUUGACUGCAUCCCCAUGGCUGUGGUUCUGUCAGCGUCUGAUUGGAACGCGCAAGCUGAGUUCAGGCCUUCAGGGAGGGCUCCACUGGGGGGCCUUCCGCUGCAUGUGGCUUUGGCUGGGGUCACGCGGGAGGGCUUGACCAGCCACUGGCGUGGUCUGGAGCGUCCAGGAAGGCCUCCCUCACACACCCGGUGGCUGGGGGAGGGCUGGGCUUGGCGGGGACUCUCCACGUGGCCUCUGGCCAGGAGCUGGACGUCAGCCUGGGAGCUCAGGAAACGUGCCCAGAAGCCGGCCCCUUGGGCAGACCUGUGUACCUGUUUAUCUAUUUACUAUUUAUCUCCUCUGCCUCAUCCUCAAUUUCAAAGGAAGACCUAAAGCAGGUAAAGGGCUGAAACAGAAGAGUGGCCGCAGUUCUCCACGCCCCCUGGAACCACAUCCUUCCAAGGGGACUUCGCACGACCUCCCUUCAGCCAGCUUGUCCUGUGGCCACUGAAGGCAGCAGGAGGGACAUUGUGUCCGUCCCCAGACUCCCCCUCCUCAGACCCUGCGAUGCCGAGUGUGCCCAGGCCAGCCUUCUGGGGGUCGAGGCUGGUGGAGGAGCCAGGCCUCCCGGCUGGGGAGCAAGCCCGCUGGGGCAGGUGCUGCCAGCCCAGCGUCGCUGCCCUGCAGACUCGUGAACAGGAGGGAGCCACAGGCCUUGGGCGCUUCGCUGCACCACCGGCCCAACCGGCAGCCGGCACCCCCAUCAGGGCUUGACUGCUGGCGUCCGAAGGUCUCUGUUGGAGAGGAGCUCAGGGGACGAGUUAAACCCCAAGAAAGGGAGCGUCAGUGGAAUUUGAAGCCUUGCAGCAACGAAGUAAGAAGAUUUGAUAGAGCCAGGAGCCCCUUUCGACCUCUAGCCUCCAGCUCCCGUCACCACGCAGCUCCUCUGGGCUCUGCAUCCAACCAGAGGUGGUGCUCAGCCAGCGACAGGUGGGGCCCAGGCCCCAGGGAAUCAGAACCACUCCAACCAGGGCUCUGCCGAGUUCCGUUCCAGGUGCUGGGCACACGCCAGCGAGGAACAGUCCACAUCCAACAGCCACGAGAGCCGGUGUCUCCAGGGGAAGCGCUAAGAGCUAAGCGGGUCACAGGGGACCCAGAGCCAGGCUGGGGAAUGGAGGGCACUGAGUGACCGCAGGUGCACUUUGAAAGGUUCCCAGAGAAGGUGACACCUGAGCAAAGACAUAGAGAGAGUGGGGCCACUGAGUACCUGGAGGAGCAGCAUUCCAUGCAGGGAAACAGCAGUGCAAAGGCCCUGAGGCAGGAGUGAGCCUGGCUUGUUCUAAAAGCAGCCCGGGGGCCAGUGUGGCUCAGGUUUUCUGAGAGGGGCAGCGGAGGGGAGGGAGCAGCUACAGGAAACUCCAGGUGGGGCCGUUUGGAGACGGCAAGGACGUGGCUCUGGCCCAGGGACCCAGGAGGGCGCUGUGGGGCAGGAUCUGGUCCCCAGCUGCCGUGUGUGGUAGGGCAGUGGUGGCCCUGGGAGUGCUGCAGGUGGCACGGACCAGGUGGGCUGGGCUCUGAUUCUGGGUCUGUGUUGAAAAUGGUGUUUGAACUGCUCUGACCCCCACAGCAGCCUCCAGGAAGGCCCACUUAUCAGAUUAGGAGACAGCCUCAAGGAGGUGACCUGACACGUCCCAGGCUUGCCCAGAGCAAAGUGCCUGCUCCUCGCAGUGGAGCCUGUUCGAGUGAGAGAGGAGGGGACAUGCUGGGAGCCCAGGGACACACAGUGACCUCAAAGGGGAUCCGGCAGGGCCCCUGCCGCUCAGCCCAGCCCCGGCCAGAUGACGUCAGUCUGUCCUCAGUGUCGCCAGGAUCCCUUCUUCUCUCCACCCCACAGCUGCGACCACAGGCCAGACCGAGAAGGAGAUCCCCAGAUUCUGCGGAUAAGGCCAAAUCAGACCCCAGCCCUGCAGCCAGAGGGGAGCCCCCACAGUCUACAUCCACAUGUGGCUCUCUUCUGCCCAAAUCCUGGUGCUGGAAGCACAGCUGAUCUCAGCACCAUGAAGACAGACACAGAGGACGCCCUCCCUGCAGGUGGGAUGCAGCCUGGGUGCGGAAAUCGGCUCACAAGAGGGAAAAACAAAGAAAGGUGUUUCCAGGUGCCGCACUGUUUUCAUGCUGCUUUGGGCAGAGUGUCCAACACGAUACGGAAGCCGGGAGAGAGGACCAGCCCUGCUGCCCCUUACUUGGGCCCAAGGUAGAAGCCUUGCUGUUUUGGUUUUGUGCGAAGUGCCUUGGCUCUCCUGCUGCCAAGAUGCCCUAAGUGCAAGCGAAGUGCUAAGAUUUCUGGUGGCGCCGAGGUGGCCCCAGCGGGGGGGGGGGGCGCUGGUCAUAGGACCAGGACGGGAAGGCCCGUGUGUCUGGGCUGUGGGCACCACCGGGCCCCACGAGGUGAAGGCAGCCCUUGCUCUCAGCUCCGUGCUCCGCAGAAAGGAGCUAGCCUGGCCUGCUCUGCUUCUGGAAUGACGGGGAAAAUCUCCCCACCCCACUGGCAGCCAUACAGUCUCUGUGGUUUCUGUCUGGAGGAACAGCAGCCGGGGGAAGACAAACACGAAGACGGGGAUGGGCCAGUGCUGACCCGGACACUCGGUCCCCACUCGGCGGGAGCCACUGGGAGCCGAAACCCUGUCCGGCCCUAAACCCACAAACAGCCCUUGGCUGGGAUCCUACAGGGCUUCUGAAGAGCACAGCCCACCCCCGACCCAGAAAACCCAACUCGACACGCACAGGUGCCUGCGAAACAGCAGGCCAGGCGCCGGGCACUCAGCUCCUGGGCUCUCUCCAGAAAACGGGGCUCACCGGGGUGAGGAUACCGCGCUGGGCUGUGCCAGACCAGCAGGGCGGCGGGGAGAAGGGAGACGGUGCAUCAGUGUCUCAGGGCGAAGCAACCCCAGGAACACACGGCAGGGCGGGACCCAGGCGCCGCCUCCAGCAGCCGCGACUUUGGGAAAGUUACCGGCUCCUCCAGGGCCGCGGUCACGUCACCUGUGAAAUGAGGACAAUCACAGAAAGCGCCUGCCCCCCGCCCAGCGACUGGAUGAGACGCUGCAGGUG
Non-coding RNA from Vicugna pacos (alpaca), 3894 nucleotides. Lineage: Eukaryota; Metazoa; Chordata; Mammalia; Artiodactyla; Camelidae. The record is from RefSeq and is a predicted model, not a curated record.